Molecule: long non-coding RNA, 2002 nt
Filed under: Lathyrus oleraceus (garden pea)
Lineage: Eukaryota; Viridiplantae; Streptophyta; Magnoliopsida; Fabales; Fabaceae
Description: Pisum sativum (pea) long non-coding RNA (PSAT_LNC010108)
Source: RNAcentral
UCAAGGCAAGGCCAUUCAAAUUUAAAUGUUCAAAUGCUGAAGUUUGAAAGGAAAUCAUUAUUGCUUGAGACAUAAGUUACACAUAUACAUUUAUUUCCCAAAGGCCAUUUUUCAUUAUCAGAGCAUCUAAUUACAUUACCUAAACCCAAAUUACAAAUUCCAUACAAAAAUAUACACUUUUGACUUAUAUUUGAUUUUUUGGUCAACCACUAAGCCUAACCCUAAAUUCCCAUUUUUCUUCAUUCAUAAGUCAUGCCCUUCUUUGUGCCUCCAAGUCUUUGUUGAUUUGCCUUGAACAUGGUGCAAAAAAGCCUUGGUCAUUCCACCUUGUGCACCUUAAUCCCACAAGUCCUGCAAAAGUAGUUCAUCCAUAAUUAGAAAAAACCAAGGCAAUGCAACAUAACAUAACAAGUGAAUAAUCAUUACAUUCAAUCUAAGCAAGUAGCAGCAUGUAUGUUUUCCUUUUAACGACUUAACAACCAUUAACUUCCAAUUAUAAUAAGCAUUACAUUCAUCCUAACAUUCAUUAGCAUUCACUAAAUAAUCACUAAAUAGUAACCAACUAUAAACCUUCGAACAACCUUGCUAACAAUAAAAACAUCCUGAAUCUAAUUCAAACAUUUUAUAACAAGCCUAACAGAUUUAACAUAAGCUAAUUCAUUUUAAUUGUUUGCUUUUAACAUUUCAAAUUUAAAAAACAGACUAACAUAAUCCUUUAAUAAAAAACCCUAUGCUAACAUUUCCACUCAUAAAUUUAAUAUUUCCAUAACCACCUAACAAUAAUUCCAACUAUAACCAGUAAGAUACUAAUUGAUUUCACUAGUUCAAACUCGACUAAUUAACUUAUAAAAUGCAUAACCAACAUAGGUCAAUUUCUUUUUACAUCAGCAAUUAACAACAGUUAACUAAAAUCAGUUUUAGACAAUAGGCUAACUUCAACAGAGUAUCCAAACUAACUCAUCUGAAGCUAACCAUUAAACUAACGGAAUUUCAGUUAACUAAUUUAACCUAUACUAACUACCAAUUUAACUAACAAAUCCAAGCUAACGCAAUGGGCAAUUUAACUGAUUGAUCAAAAACAAUUCCACAUAAAAUAACUGAAAUAAUAUAAAUUAACCAAAUACAAAGGAUGAACUGACUGUAAUUAAGGACUCAUUGGACUGAACUAAACAAAGCUCAUAAUAGUGAACUGACUGUUAACAUACUAACAAUCUAAUCUAAUUGAAACUCAACUAACUAAAUUUAAUAGCAUCUAACAGAAGUGAUAACUUCCAACCACCCUUCAACUGAAAAAUCUUAACAGAGUUAGAGUGCUCUAACCUCUGCCUUAGUUGCUCAUUUUUGUUAGCACCAUUACCACCUAUAAAUUCACUAUUGAUCACUCUCCAAAAGAUCCUUCAAUCACUUUCCAAUCACUGUAAAAUCAUCCUGAUUCAUUGCAUAAAACCUAUCAAAAAAUCUCUACAGAAUUCAAAAUCAUUUUCCUUCUCAACCAAGCUCACUUCUCCGAAACAUUGAGGGUUCUCAUUCUCUAUGAACCUCUCACUCUUCAUCACUCAUCACUUAACAUCACAUAGAAACAGCAACAACAACAAACUUAGAAGGCACGAUAAGAAGGAAGAGGAAGAAGGUUUGAAUAUUAUUCAAAAGUUUAGCAAGGAAUCAGAAAUCACGUUACUUGAACCUCUGGAUUUCUUUGACGAACACCACGUUUGAAGAGCCGUCAGAACUACUCUGGCAUGUAAGAUUCCCACCUCUUCCCACUUACUUUUUUUUAGGGUUCACACAAUUUUGGAUCAAUUCAAAUUGGUGGUCACAAAUUAGGGACAAUUAGGUUGGUAUUAUGGAAGAAGGCUUAAAAAUGAGCAUUUUAUGGGGGUUUAGCUCAUCUUCAUCGCCUCCGGCGCAGAGGAGUAUCAUUCCGGUGACUGAGGAAGUAAAAGAACGAGAGGGAGCAUGGCUGACUUUGAAAGAUUAAAUGGACAAUGUUUUGAACUUUGUG